CGAUAUCGACGUAGUUUGAUCAUGGCUCAGAAUCAACGCUGGCGGCGUGCCUCAGACAUGCAAGUCGAACGAUUAAAGCUCUCUUCGGAGAGUGCAUAGAGUGGCGCACGGGUGAGUAACACGUAAGUAAUCUACCUUCGAGUGGGGAAUAACGUCCGGAAACGGGCGCUAAUACCGCAUAAUGCAGCGGCAUCGCAAGAUGACAGUUGUUAAAGGAGCAAUCCGCUUGAAGAGGAGCUUGCGGCAGAUUAGCUAGUUGGUAGGGUAAUGGCCUACCAAGGCUACGAUCUGUAACCGGUCUUAGAGGACGGUCGGCCACACUGACACUGAAUAACGGGUCAGACUCCUACGGGAGGCAGCAGUCGGGAAUUUUGGGCAGUGGGGGAAACCCUGACCCAGCAACGCCGCGUGAAGGAUGAAGUAUUUCGGUAUGUAAACUUCGAAAGAAUAGGAAGAAUUAAUGACGGUACUAUUUAUAAGGUCCGGCUAACUACGUG
This 497-nucleotide ribosomal RNA is filed under the name uncultured bacterium. RNAcentral's name for it is "bacterial SSU rRNA". It matches the Rfam family "Bacterial small subunit ribosomal RNA", at positions 1 to 507 of the family's 1533-position model. The record is from RNAcentral.